CCUACGGGUGGCAGCAGUGGGGAAUUUUGGACAAUGGGGGCAACCCUGAUCCAGCCAUGCCGCGUGCGGGAAGAAGGCCUUCGGGUUGUAAACCGCUUUUAGCCGGGACGAAAGCUCUACGGAUAACACCCGUAGGGGUUGACGGUACCGGCGGAAUAAGCACCGGCUAACUACGUGCCAGCAGCCGCGGUAAUACGUAGGGUGCGAGCGUUAAUCGGAAUUACUGGGCGUAAAGCGUGCGCAGGCGGUUCGUUGUGUCGGUGGUGAAAGCCCCGGGCUUAACCUGGGAAUGGCCGUCGAAACUGGCGAACUGGAGUGUGGCAGAGGGGGGUGGAAUUCCGCGUGUAGCAGUGAAAUGCGUAGAGAUGCGGAGGAACACCGAUGGCGAAGGCAGCCCCCUGGGCUGACACUGACGCUCAGGCACGAAAGCGUGGGGAGCAAACAGGAUUAGAUACCCCUGUAGUC
RNAcentral lists this ribosomal RNA (465 nucleotides) under uncultured Rhodocyclaceae bacterium. RNAcentral describes it as "bacterial SSU rRNA". It matches the Rfam family "Bacterial small subunit ribosomal RNA", at positions 338 to 795 of the family's 1533-position model. The record is from RNAcentral. Lineage: Bacteria; Pseudomonadati; Pseudomonadota; Betaproteobacteria; Rhodocyclales; Rhodocyclaceae.